RNAcentral lists this long non-coding RNA (4801 nucleotides) under Salmo salar (Atlantic salmon). RNAcentral describes it as "lncRNA (ENSSSAG00000086020.1, ENSSSAG00000112582.1)". The record is from RNAcentral. Lineage: Eukaryota; Metazoa; Chordata; Actinopteri; Salmoniformes; Salmonidae.
GUAUGAACAUAGCUUUUUAGCAAGUUUGCAUAAUGCUAGUUAACUAACGUUAGUCACAAACUCGAUUCAUCCACCACAGCAGGGACUGUGAUGCAGCUAGCUGAGGAACGCUCAACUCAUUUUUCUUAUCGAGGCUGAAUUGAGUUUUGAUAUCUGGUCGCGGGAUUUGCUAGCAACAACAUUCAGUGCGGUUACAUGCACACAAAAGCGAUUAUUUUGUAUAGUCGGAUUAUUAUAACAGUUAGAUUAAAACGUUUACUUACUUUGCAAGAAGAACCUAAUAAUACUUUUUACAUGAACACAUCUGAAAUCAGGUUACCUGAUGGCAAUCUGAUAAAUGCAGAAAAUAGUGCUGAGUGAUUAGUGCUUUUUGGUUUGGGUUCGAUAAUUAUUUUUAAACAUCGAAUGCAUUAUGCGGGUUGAAUGCUGUAACAAGACAUAAUAAAACGGCCAAUAAAAGUCCCAUGAUGGUAGUGACCGCCCAUUACUGCUUAUCACUUAUUAACCAUUUAUUCACAUUAUUUUACUUAAUUCAAAUAUUUCAGUUGCGUAUAUGAUUUGUUUUAUUCACUGACUAUUUCAUUCCAAGUCAUCUCAUCUCUAUAGAAAUGCUGCCUAUGCUAUCUGACAAAAUCACUAUUUUGUAGUUCUUCAAAGUAAAUGAGGCAUACUUUUAUGACUGCUGAAUACCAACUAUCAAUCCCUUAGAUCAUGUAUUUUCAAGUAGAUGCUUCCCAAAGCAACUGUUAUUAGUUGUUUGAAAACCAAAAAGUAACUUGCUCGGCACUAGCAGAAAACUGGCAAUCAAAAUAAACGUUCCACCACAGCGAACAUGUUAUUUUUGCUAAGCAUAUUCGAUUCUGAGUUCGUACAUAUAGAGUUUGUAUGUGCAAACUCCUUCCAAGAUGCAUGCAUUCAGUUCCGAAAACACUUCACUCACGCUGAAGAGGGAGGCUCGCUCGGCUGGUGCUAGCACAUGCGCAGAUCAAAUGCACCGCUUGUACGCCGAUUUAAGGUCAUUACGUGUCGUAAUCAUUUCGAAAGAUUGCUCAGAAAACCAGGUGUUUUAAUCCGCGAAUGCUCUCUUGAUUUUGACUUUACGCAGAUUAAAGCUGCAAUAUGUAACUUUUUGGGGACCUGAGCAAAUUCAUGUAGAAAUGUGACUUAUCGAUCUGUCAUUCUCAUCGAAAGCAAGUCUAAGAAAGGUACCUUCAUACAAGGCUUGUGGGCAUCCUAGAUCAAAGUGGAGAACACCAUCGUGUUCACGAGAGUCUCUGGUUUCAAUAGUGGUCAUAAUCGGCCAAACUGUUUGGAUGCUACAGACGUUUUUGUGAGAAGAUCGAUUUUUGGGAAGUCUAUGAUCUGACAAACACCACUGUAGCUCUGCCACCUUUCACCGCAGAUGCGGAAGGGCGAUAUUGGCGGAUGUGGUGGAUUGAGACGCAGGCCCUGCAACAAAAAAAAAACACAUCUCUAUCUAGGUUUGCAAACUGUCUGAAACCUUCCACUAAAUUACCUGGAAUUUCUCUGUAAAUUUCUCUGUAAAUUUAAGCCCAGGAAUUUUGCUUAAAUUCAUCAAAAAAGUUAACUUGUAACAGUGAACUUUAUUGUGGGAUAUGAUACACAUAAGGAACUUCUAGGUAUUGUGGCCUAUUUUGGUUAAACUAUCCCCAAUUCAAUGGAAUUGCAACCCUCUGCAUGCACAGUGCAUUCUUCCAUCACAUGUGCAGCUGAUUCUCAAGAUCUUGCACACUAAUGAGAUGCUAUUGAGCCCACACUACUACACUGUCUGAGCCAAGGACUACAUGCUUUCUGGGAAAAGCCACGGGCUCUAUCUGAUUUGUGGAGAAAUUUCACUGCAGCUAAUGUAGAAGGAAAAGCUGUGUACAUUUGCUAAUACUGUGAAAAAUCAUAUGUGAAGAAUGCAACAGAGAUGAGAAUCAUCUGGCCAAGUGCAUAAAGUUCCCUCCACUCACAAACAAACAAGCUCUGACAAAAGUCCCUCUACUUCUAUUCGAGGUGAAAAUGAUGAAUCAGACACCUUAUCGAUAGCAACAGCUCAGGGUCCUCCUGGAAUCCAUUUUUUUUUUACUCAAUGGAGGAACGUAGUCAGAGAUGCUGAUGAAUGUUUUGCUCGAGCUGUGUAUGCAACUGGUUCACCUCAAGCUCACAGGCAAUGUGUAUUGGAAGAGAUUUCUGAAUGUUCUUCGCCCAGCAUACACCCCUCCAACCAGACAUGCUUUAUCUACUCAUUUGCUGGAUGCAGAGUUCAAGUGAAGGUCAAGCAAAUCAUAGAGAAAGCACACUGUAUUGCAAUCAUCUCUGAUGGGUGGUCGAAUAUUCGUGGGCAAGGAAUAAGUAACUACAUCUCCACCCCUGAACCAGUAUUCUACAAGAGUACAGACAUAAGGGACAACAGACACACCAGUCCCUACAUUGCAGAUGAGCUGAAGGAAGUCAUCAAUGACCUUGGAACACAGAAGGUAUUUGCACUGGUGACAGACAAUGCUGCGAACAUGAAGGCCGCUUGGUCGAAAGUGGAGGAGACCUACCCUCACAUCACACCCAUUGGCUGUGCUGCUCAUGCAUUGAUUCUGAUUCUCAAGGACAUCAUGGCACUGAAAACAAUGGAUACACUCUACAAGAGAUCCAAGGAAAUGGUUAGGUAUGUGAAGGGUCAUCAAGUUAUAGCAGCAAUCUACCUCACCAAGCAAAGUGAGAAGAAUAAGAGCACCACAUUGAAGCUGCCCAGCAACACCCGUUGGGUUGUGUUGUCAUCAUGUUUGACAGUCUCCUUGAGGGGAAGGAGUCUCCAUGGAAUGGCCAUAUUACAGUCUGCCCAUAUGGACAGCCCCAUCAAGAGGAUCCUCCUGGAUAAUGUAUUUUGGGAGAGAGUGGUAAGCAGCCUGAAACUCCUGAAACCUAUAGCAGUAGCCAUUGCACGGAUUGAGGGAGACAAUGCCAUCCUGUGAUGUUCAGACUGCUUGCAGAUGUAAGAGAAUAAAUCUGUACUGCCCUGCCCAGUUCAGUGUUGCUCCAAGCAGAGGAUACGGCAGUUCUGAAAUGCAUCAAAAAGCGUCUGGCGAACUACACUUCCAAGCAAGGGCUUUGGGAUGGAGAUGCAAUAUGGGAGUCGUGCCAACAUAUCUCAUCAGCCACCUGGUGGCAGGGACUUUGUUGAUCUGAGGCUCUUUUCUCUUUUGCCUCCAUCAUCCUCCAAAUCCCACCAACAUCACCCGCCUCAGAGCGCAACUGGUCCUUUUUUGGGAACACACACACCAAAGCACACAACAGUCUGACCAAUACUAGUGUUGAAAAAUUGGUGGCCAUCCGGGCAAUUUUGAGGCUUUUUGAGCCUGACAACGAGCCAUCCUCAACAAGGUUGGAAGAUGAGGCCUCACAGUCUGAUGUUCAAGAGGUGGACAUUGAGGAGGUCCAGGGAGAAGAGAGGAACACAACCAAAGCUUUAGUUUCUGGACUAUAAUUUUACAGAUGUAUGUUAAAUGUUUUUGGGAGAUGCGAUGGAUCAUUAUUCCCUUAUCAGUAUUCCCUUUUUGUUGUUCAGUGAAAUCUUCCCAUGUGAAGUGUCAACUCAUUUAAAGUUCAGUUUGUAACUAAAUGUUUUUUUUUUUCUAUUGGAAUGAUUUAAUCAUUUGCAAUUAUGUCUACUUAUAGUAAGGUAAAAGGUUUCUGUCUCCAUAUGAUAUAAAAACCUCUACAUUUUAAAUGGUAUCUUAAUAUGAAUUGCAUAUAUUCUCUGUAAAGUUUCCACUUCUGAAUAUUCCCCAAAAUGUGCAACCUAUCUUAAACAGAUGGAUUUUUAAAAUUAUGUUAAUUAUAUUUCAAGUCUUUAAAAGUAAGAGAAACAAUGAUUUUCAAAACCUGCAAUUAGGGAGGGUAUUUUUUUCCCCCAUAUCACUGCAAAUCUGUUUGAAAAUGACUUGACGCACUUGAUUUAUUUUUUUCUUCCUACAACUUACAAAUGUGCCGUUUUCACACACAGACACUGGUUUGAUUCUGGAGAUACUGAAUAUUAGAUUAAAAAAGGCGACUCAGCAACCUUUCAAUCUGACUAUCCACAAUACUCAUUAUUGUGUGCAUGUAACCCUACUCACUAAAAAACUGUGGGUAACGUUAUAUCCUCCUGUAUGUGACUCGAUAGACAUUCUCUGUUGCGGACACAUUUCUAGUAACAUGGCAGUGUUCAUAACCUUGCCAGACUAUUAGCUUUUUUUGCCUGAGUGGUUCAUUUAAUUUAUUUCCCCCCAAAAUUCUGUUCUCUCUGUUUUGUUGCUUCAGGUUUUUUACUGUCAAUCACUUGUUUAAUAAAAAAAACAACACUUGCUUAAACCAAAGACUACUUUUGAGGUCUGGGAAAAAUAUAAAAUGUUUAUUUUGAGUAGUUACUCUUUUAAUGGAAGUGUAUACCAGCAAGAGACUAUUGUUUCAGUAACCCUCAUGUGAUUGCAGAGUUUGCAAAACAAAUGGCCACUGGAUUCAUAGGCUUGUUUGUAGUUCACAUUUAAUUGAGAAGGUUUUGGGAAAGCCUUUCCAUCUGAAUCAGAAGAUGGUUAUCGUUAGCAUUGUCGCUAACAGCUACACAUGUUGACAUGCGCACGCACCACACACAGACAGGCAUUCCUGUGCUUUUGCAUUUUGUCUUAUGUUUAACUUUGGCAAAUGUAAUGCAUUUUCUAAUACGUUAAUACAUUUAGUUGAUUUCAAUGAAAGUUAAACACAUUAAUUUUAAUGUCUGGAUUCUGUCAGUGUUCUCUGCAGCUCAGACUGUUCCUAAAUGUUG